CCUACGGGGGGCAGCAGUGGGGAAUAUUGGACAAUGGGCGAAAGCCUGAUCCAGCCAUGCCGCGUGUGUGAAGAAGGCCUUCGGGUUGUAAAGCACUUUCAGUGGGGAAGAAAGCCUUGGGGCUAAUACCCUCGAGGAAGGACAUCACCCACAGAAGAAGCACCGGCUAACUCCGUGCCAGCAGCCGCGGUAAUACGGAGGGUGCGAGCGUUAAUCGGAAUUACUGGGCGUAAAGCGCGCGUAGGCGGUCUGAUAAGCCGGUUGUGAAAGCCCCGGGCUCAACCUGGGAACGGCAUCCGGAACUGUCAGGCUAGAGUGCAGGAGAGGAAGGUAGAAUUCCCGGUGUAGCAGUGAAAUGCGUAGAGAUCGGGAGGAAUACCAGUGGCGAAGGCGGCCUUCUGGACUGACACUGACGCUGAGGUGCGAAAGCGUGGGUAGCAAACAGGAUUAGAUACCCGUGUAGUC
This 465-nucleotide ribosomal RNA is filed under the name Vreelandella stevensii. RNAcentral describes it as "partial 16S ribosomal RNA". It matches the Rfam family "Bacterial small subunit ribosomal RNA", at positions 338 to 795 of the family's 1533-position model. Lineage: Bacteria; Pseudomonadati; Pseudomonadota; Gammaproteobacteria; Oceanospirillales; Halomonadaceae. The record is from RNAcentral.